UACGUAGGUGGCAAGCGUUGUCCGGAUUUACUGGGCGUAAAGAGCGCGCAGGCGGUCGUUUUAAGUCGAAUGUGAAAGCCCCCGGCUCAACUGGGGAGGGUCACUCGAUACUGAUCGACUCGAAGGCAGAAGAGGGAAGCGGAAUUCCCGGUGUAGUGGUGAAAUGCGUAGAUAUCGGGAGGAACACCAGUGGCGAAGGCGGCUUUCUGGUCUGCUCUUGACGCUGAGGCGCGAAAGCUAGGGUAGCAAACGGG
RNAcentral lists this ribosomal RNA (254 nucleotides) under uncultured bacterium. Its description in RNAcentral is "partial 16S ribosomal RNA". It matches the Rfam family "Bacterial small subunit ribosomal RNA", at positions 524 to 776 of the family's 1533-position model. The record is from RNAcentral.